UACAGAGGUCUCAAGCGUUGUUCGGAUUCAUUGGGCGUAAAGGGUGCGUAGGUGGCGCCGUAAGUCGGGUGUGAAAUUUCGGAGCUUAACUCCGAAACUGCAUUCGAUACUGUGGUGCUUGAGGACUGGAGAGGAGACUGGAAUUCAUGGUGUAGCAGUGAAAUGCGUAGAGAUCAUGAGGAAGACCAGUGGCGAAGGCGGGUCUCUGGGCCGAUACUGACGCUGAGGAGCGAAAGCGUGGGGAGCAAACAGG
RNAcentral lists this ribosomal RNA (253 nucleotides) under uncultured bacterium. RNAcentral's name for it is "partial 16S ribosomal RNA". It matches the Rfam family "Bacterial small subunit ribosomal RNA", at positions 524 to 776 of the family's 1533-position model. The record is from RNAcentral.